Long non-coding RNA from Gallus gallus (chicken), 6033 nucleotides. RefSeq lists it as uncharacterized. The record is from RefSeq and is a predicted model, not a curated record. Lineage: Eukaryota; Metazoa; Chordata; Aves; Galliformes; Phasianidae. The transcript is spliced from 2 exons.
GGAUAAUCAGCAAAAUGGGCUGCUGGAGGGGGAUGAGCGGCUGCCCAGGCUUGCCUGCAGCCAAGCACCAGCAAAGCCGGCUGCUGCAGCACUGCCCCAGAGCUUCGUAGCUGCCUCCCAGAGCCCGCCCUGCCAGGGCCACACCACCCCUCCGCACCAGGAAGGCAGGCAAACCAGAGCUAUACAAAGGAAACAUGCAGGAGCAGAGAGCUACAGAGCUACAAGCAGUUAGUCCAAGAACUGCUUGCCCAUCUCACCCCAUGCUCCAGCCAGAAAGCAGUAAAUAGCUGCUGAAGUUGUUAACUGCUAGAGCAUAUAUGUAACUAUUUGUUUUCUUAAAGCAGAAGAAACAAUCUUACCAGUAUCAUGGCAACAUGGGAAAACCGCUCAUAGGUUUGACAGAUGUACGCCAGCCCUGUGUCAUCCAGAAGGAUUUUCUGAAGAAUAAAUGUAGCAACCUAGAACAGGAAGAAAGCAGAGAAGAGAACAUAUAAAAACAACUCAUCUAUCCCCAGAAAGAACAGUCUUUGUGCUGUGUUCUUUUCAUGGCAGUCCCAGAGCUGAAAGGCCUUUCAGAAAAUGCUGUACUUGAUUUAAAAAGUUUAAAGCCAAAAUGAAAUGCAGGACACUGCACAAUGGUUGGCAUCUCUGGCUAAGGAAGAUAGAUACAAAGCACUGCAUACCAGACAACUGGAUGCAGGCUGUAUGAAGUAGCAACCACCAGGCUGCCCAGAACAGCCUCGUAUUAUGGCCACGCUGCUCUGGACACACAGAAAAGCAACGAGCCCUUGGCCCUGCUGUGUACACAGCAAGCUGGUUUCAGUUUUCAUCUCAAGUAUUACUGAUUCAUGACCAGACACGUGACUUCCUGGGAGAGCCCUGGUCAGAUAUGUCACCAGGCUUCACCAGAGAAGCACACAGACUGAAAGCUGUGGCUGGCCUGCCUGGGUCAUCCGACCACAGACCUGAACUCACGGUGAAAAACAGCCUUGAUCAAAUGGGGUAACCAACUGGUCCAGAGUGGUGAACAUCCCUAUAAUCACCACCACCAACAGCCGCUGUUCAACCUGAGCACUGAGUAGUUACAGCAUUUGUUCUCUCAGGCAAAAGGAAAGUUAACCCAGCUCAGCACUGAAGGUUACUCUGCUGAGCUACGAAGCACAAUGGGUGCUGAGAGCAGCAAGACCUUUCCUAGCAGAACUGCCACGCUCAAGGAACACUCAACUCAGUUUGUAUUUUGAGGAGUUAAAACACCAGCAAGAGUUGCAUCACCCUUUGCAACAGGAUAUCAGCCAACUCUGCAGGUUACAGACUGCCUGGUCAGUUGGAUAUAAACAACAGAAACUCUUAAGAAAAACAACAGGUACCGUCUUGGAGAGUUCACUGCCAGACUCCAUAAUGCGUAAGCACAGGGGGAUAAUUUCUGUUGUCAGUAAGAAGUUUAUCACUUCUUGCUCAUCAGUUUUCACCAAGGCUCCUUGAAAGAAAACCAAAAGACAAAUUUACUAAAUGAUAAAUUGUUAAAAACACAAACAAACAAAGAAAAACCCUCGUCUAUCAAAGAUGGCCCGUUCUGUGUCCUGCCAGGAAUCAUUAGAUCUGAAUGACUGACAGAACAACUCCCAUCCUAAACACGCUGCAGCAUGUGACUGGAGAAGAUAUCAUUUCAGCAGCAUAAAAGUAAUCAAGCUGGUUUUGGAGGCUGGUUGUUUUUCAGAAAGGGGAUACAUUCUUGGCUCUCCCCCUGGUGGUAACACAACCUCCAGUGACUCACAGCCACUCAACAGCAACCUCUCAGAAGAAGAAACCUAUUUCAAGACACUCUUUAUGCACGGAGAGAGAAACACUCCGGGCAGAAAAGAGGGGAAAAAAGAAGGAUGACAGGGCAAACAUACCCAAGACAAUCAAUGACAAAAAGCCAAAGAAAGCCCAACAUGCACUCUCUCACCCCAGUCUCUCGUUAGCUGUGCUAAGGGUGAAGGCACAACAAAAUUGCAGAUACUUGUUCUAACAGCAAGCAAGUUUUUGGCAACUGACCCAGACUUCAAAGUUUUCUUAGAAGUGGAAAAAAAAUCUCACUUCCUAUCCCAGACCUGACUUCAGUUGUGCAGGUUUCUAUACCCACAGCUUUAACUGCACCCAGCUCACUAGGAAACCAGUGCUCUGCAUUAGUCCUGUUGCUUACCAAUCACUCCGAGGCUUGUGAGCCGCAGGUACUCAAAUGGACGUGUCUUGCUAACUGUGUGCAAGAAGGGGUACAGGAAGAGAGGGAUGUGAGCUGCCAAAAACGCUGACCUGUAGGACAGGGAGAACACCCACAAGAGACAAAGAAAACAAAGUGAGCACACAAACCAGAACUAUCACACACAGCCUCAGACUACUCCUGACAGACAACAUUGCUGCUGCUGCUCCUCAGAAUUGGGUAGCAGUUCAUUCUCUGAUGGUAACGUGUGAAAUUAAUUCUGCGUGGGGCCAUGUUUGUGCAUUAACUACUGAUUCGGGCUGAACUAACACCAACUUUUUCCUUGCUGACAUGUGCAGGAGACUGAGAAAACGUGAAGUCGGGCAGUGACUGGAAGCUGCAGGUGUGACUUUGCUUUUGCCCCUUUGCCACAGUCCCUGGGAAAGGCAGCCUAGCUCAUUCCAUUCUUUGGGCAGCUGGUCUCAAUAACUGUAAGCUCAUUAAAACAAGGAUCUUGCAUGUAACACUCAGCACAAAGGCAGCCUUGUCUCUGGCUGAGCUCCUAGGGUCUGUCACAACUCAAUAUUUUGGGAAUUUGCAGGAUGUUGGGAUGAUUCAAGGAAUGCAAAGCAUUCAGGACCACAAUAAGGCUGUCAUCCUUGUAAUCCAGGCAAACAAGUGAAAGCAGCAGCCAGUUGCCUAUCUUCCAGCUCUGCCUGUUUUUCCACUUCUCUUGGUAAAAGAUCAGAAAGGAAUUUACAUGCUUCCAGAAUCAAACAGAAUGGCAGAGCUGUCAACAUCAUCAAUACACCAGAAAACUUUCAUACUUGGAAAUACUCACCUUGUUUCAGGAUGAGAUGCAACACACUGCAACAGAGCUAAAGCAUUGCAGACUCUGUUGGACUGAUGGGCAGUCAAGGUUGGAGGAUUGAUUGAUGGAUAAAUAUUUACAAUUUCCUAAAAAAGUAAUAAGUGAAGAAAAGUUAAAGGAGGAAAAAAAUAAAUCAGCAAGCUGCACAAGAGCACUUACCCAGCAAGGAACUGUGGUGCCAUGAGAUUUUAGUCUGCUUUCACUAAGCACCACUCUCAAGUUACAUGGCAGACACCAUGCUCCAAAGGAAGUGGCAGAGUUAUGCCAGAAUCAGUUUGACAAGGGGUCACACAGAUACAGUCAAACUUUAAUUUUAGCUCCCCCCUCAAAAUAAGGGCUCAUUUGAUUUCCCGGCUCUUUGCAGAUGUGGGGAUUACUCUGUUUUGAACUGCCAGAGCAAAGAGGAAUGCUGUUCCUGUGCCUAGAGGCAGAGCACACCCACUUCAUUCGUACCAUAGCUGCUGGUACUCUUCUAACUCAAUGAAGGGGAAGCAGCUGAAGGUGAAAAAUCCAAUGCAAAAAACUGUCUGCUUCCAACUAUGGCUCCCUUACGAUUUUCUUCACUUGUUUCAGGGCUGCUCUGUUUUCACAGUCUGGCAUUGCCUAUCCUGCAGGAUUUUCCUUCCUUCUUCACAUGAAAUGACUAGAUUCAGCAAAGAUGGGCAGACAUCAGCUGUAGUUUAUCCAGAGCUCAGCUGAGCAACUCAGUUUGACCAGAAAUGCAGGUAGUUUUCUUUGCAAGGCACUCUGGAGCAGCGAGCUACAAGCACUCCCAUGCUGCCCCGACGAGGGAUCUCUGUAAUGGCAACCUUUUGAUCAGGCAGUACUCAAAGUGUGGAAAAUAAAGAAAAAAACUCCACAACACAAAACAGAGAUCUUAGGAGUAAAACUAUUGUGGCUCUGUUAUGACACCAUACAAAAAUGAGAAGACUUAUCUCCAGGAAGUUCAUACACAGAAGAACUUGCCUGUUCCCCUUUCAGCUGUAUAAGCUAUCUCACCAACAAUCUUAGGGCCACCUUGGAAGUGAUGAUUGAUAGAAAACACUAGAAACGUCCUCCUUAUGUGGUUCCCCUCACCACGUGAUCCAGCAGCCAUCAUACACAGAAAUGGCACGAAGGAACUCUAUCAGUGCCUCCCCAGAUCCACCCCACGGACACACAGAGCUCUGCAACGUAGCAGCGCUGUGCCACGGAACAAAGCUGAGCUCUGCCCUACCCACCUGAAGGAGUGCUGCAAUCGUGCCAAACGAGUGCCACAGCAUGGGGGCAAGGUCAGGCACAGACUCACGCUUCUUGCUCAGCUCCAGCAGUGCAUUCUCCCUCGUCUCAGGGCUGGACAGCUCAUUGAUCCACUGGUAGAUCUUCUCACGGUCCACCUGAGCCAGUGCUGUAGGCACAGGCUGGGAGGGAGACAAGAAAACUUCAGUCACAGCUAUUUCAGUCACUUCUCACAGCCUCAAAGGUUAAGCAAAAAAAGGGCUCGAGGAAGUGGCUGGGGGAGGGAGGGACUAAAGCUGCAUUAUGAAGCUGUGGAUACGGAUGAUCCCUUAGAUUAGGCUUACUACUUCGCCUAUCUGAAAUACAGCUGUUUCACUUUCUGGCCUGACUCGUUAGGGCAGUCUCCCUUAAUUUGCCCGCCAACCGUUUCCUUACAACUCCAUUUAGUGACAUGAGAGCCGUGCUGCUGCCCAUCUGUGCCAGCAGAGCUCCUGGGGAGGCCAGACAUACUUCAGCCACCUAUCACCCGCUCCACCUGCAUUGCUUUCAUGCUUCAAAUGCAAGCCACAAAUCCCAACUAAGUAAUGCAGAUGCUACCUUCUUCUCUCCGAUAACAACCCGGAUACUCAAUGAACCCCAUUGACAGGCUCCAAUGGACAUUAGACAAAUGUUGGUGUAGUGAGAAGAAGAACAACAUCAAGGCCAGCAAGUUUUCUGGGCAAAACUUAGGGAGGGCUGAGAAGAAAGGGAGAGCAAAGAAGUGGCACCACUGUUUCUGUGGAAAUGGCAAGGAAAAAGCCUUGCAAUGAAAGCCUGUCUCGUGCCACUGCUGGCACAUGGAGCACUCAGGUUGCAGACAGCUGCUCAGCAGGCCUCCUGCAGAGACAGUGUGGUGAUUCAGACCAACAAUUUGGAGGCAAACUUAUGCAUUAAAGGGAGUGCUUCAUGUCCUGCACUGCCAGCAAUGCUGCUACCAGCAGCUCCUUACUGAACACAAAAGAGUUGAGGAACUGACAGCAACUGGAACCAAAAUGAAGUUCCCAGAGCUGCUGGAGGGAGACCCCACGGGGGGGUGUCCAAACACACCCCCAGAGCCUUCCCUCUCUAUUGCUACAGCAGUUUCCCUGCUCAGCUAUCCACACAUCAUAUUUAUAAUCACAUCCUAAAAAGUCCUGUGGGAUUUAUAGUGGAUUGAAGUUGUAAUUUGUCUCUUUCUCUAUGUAAUUUAGGCUACAAUAUAAGCUGAUGUGCUGUUACCAAUCCCUACAUCUCAUGCCCCUAAUACCUUGUACCUGCUCACCUUUCCUCCUAUCCCCCUUUUCUCCUCGUCUACUUUAUUUUAUUUCAUUCCCCCCCCCCAGAACCUCAUACUGAAAUAAUAAUCUGAACAAUUUUCUGUACAAGGAACACAAUUCCAAUGGUAACUCCGAUACCAGAGCUGGGAGACAGAGGGUGAACAGACUGAGCUCAUUUGUUUUCGUUUGGGAUGGCAGAGUGACAAGCAGUGCAGCAGUAAUGUUGUUAUAAUUGCGUUAUCUGAAGCUUCCAUCUAUUUUUCUAGACUCGUCGUAAGUUUCAGUUCCUGUAAGCUUAAAUAUAUCGACCCUUUAAAAGCACAAUCGUGUGUCUAUGAUCCCUGGAGAGCACUACGCAGAUUUUCCAGACAAUUAAGUUUUUGAUGCCCACUAUCAGUCUCAGUGAGAACCAGUUGCUGGCCACAGGCUCCACAGUUGCUCAGUAAACGUGCCAGCUGAAAUCAAAA